GUGUGUUUUGUCCUUUUUUGAUACAGUUAAUGUCAAUGGUCGGUAUUACGAAGCAUUCCUAAGACUUGUCAUAAGAUAUAUCUUAGGACAUGUCUUAUGAUCCUCUUAUGACUAUCUAUGGACAUAUCUUUAUUUGAUGAAUUAUAAUUGUGAGUGUCCACUUUGAGGGCAAUAGUAAAAUACUUUCAAUCUAGUUCACACUAAAAGACACAAGAGGACAGCCAGGACAGAUGUGUCUACAAAUAAAAUUGGGAUUGGAAAUGGGGUAUGUGUCUAAAAGACAACAACCAGACCAUGGAGCAGACGACAUCCAAAGGACACAAAUACAUGCUUUCAAAGUAGAGGAUAUAUAUUUAAAACAUCAAAUGACAUCCGCC
This 377-nucleotide long non-coding RNA is filed under the name Mytilus galloprovincialis (Mediterranean mussel). Lineage: Eukaryota; Metazoa; Mollusca; Bivalvia; Mytilida; Mytilidae. The record is from RNAcentral.